AAGCGGCCGCAGAGCGGCCCAGAGUUCGCAGGUCUGGGGCUCUCUUCCCAGAGAGCUCGUAGGGGAGGACAGUCAAGGGACUCAAGCGUCUCUCUUGACUCCCCUUCUCUCGCUGUGCAGUGGCGGCGCCGAGGGGUCGACGCUCAGGGCUAAUCUCUAUGAGUCACCCUCGAGGCCCCGGGUAAUAUUGGGUGGAUCACAAGAACUAAUCUUUCAUGAUUUGGAAACCGGAAGGAAAGAAGCACUUUUGUAGCUGACUUACCUCAAUGACAUGACCAGUGUCUGAGCCUACAACUGCGCUAUCUUCCCUGGAUUUUUCUUCACCUUUUCCUUACUCAUGAGCCAGGACAUGAACCUGGAGCCUGCCCGGAUGCGAAAGGAGCUGUAACACUGAAUCCCUCUCACCCUAUGCCAGUGCUGGAUGGCUGUCCCAUGUGAUGGGAAGUGGUGGUGGGGCCAGGCCAGCCCAGGAGCCAUCAUGGGCCAGAGUGGGGCAGCAGGACCAAACAAGCUAUAACACAAAUAAGCUGAAACAUGUUCCUGGCUGGCCUGCCAAGCUGCCAGCAGUGACAUGUUCCCAUUCGCCAGACUACAAGACAAGAGAGCUGUGACCCUUCUGGGGACCCAGACCUCGGGACUCCCUGAGUCAGAGCUGUGACAUGCUGUAACACCCCCUUGGGGCUCUGUGGUUGCUGGUGUCUCUGAGUUUUUGGGCACCACUGCAUUCCCCCUGUCCAGAUGCUGCUGCCUGGCCCAGCUACAGCCCCUCACAAAACUCACGCCUGUGCUGGUGCCUGGAGCUGCCCACCCCACUGCAGCAGCUGGCACACCUGGCUGUGCAUCAUGGCUGGACCCUACACUUGCUCACUCACACACCCCUUGCCAUUCUGUGCCUGGCUUGUCCACAGUGGGCAUGGGAUCUGGGCCAGUAGCGCAAGCUCAGUACAGCCUGCCAGGCCGAGUGGGUGGAGCCAGCUCAGCAGUCAAAAGUGAAACUCAGGCAGAGGCACCACUGGCCACAGAGGUUACCGAAAGAAUCGUGUGUCACUACUGUUAGCGGUGCCUAAUUUAUACAGGUCUGCAGCAACUUCAGUUCUUGCCUUCUAAGAAGAGAGAAUUCAACUGAGGUGGGUCAUAAGGCAGAGUCAGAGACUGAGGCAAGUUUUAAGCAGGAAUGAAAGUUUAUUAAAAAGUUUUAAGUAGGAAUGAGAGGAAGUAAAGUACACUUGGAAGAGGGCCAAGCAGGUGAUGUGAGAGAGUCAAGUGCCCAGUUUGACCUUUGACUUACAGUUUUGUAUGUUCCAGCAUCUUCUGUCCCUUCUCACCUGAUUCUUCCUUUGAAGUGGGCUGUCUGCAUGCACAGUGGCCUGCUAGCACAUGGGAGGGACCACAGGCACAGUGAGUUUACUGGAGUUGUAUGCAUGCUCAGGUGAGGCAUUCUUCCCUUACCAGUUGAGUGUUCCUAGAGGAAGGUCAUAUACCAGUUAAACUCUGCCAUUUUGGCUCUUAACGCACAUGCUUGAGACCACUCACCCAAUUCCUGAGAUCUUAUCGGAAAGCUGCUGAUCACCAGUUUCAGUUUUUUCCAUCUAUUGGGAGACUGCCUUUCUCUGGUGCCGGCUGCGACCCAUUAGUAUUUUGGAGAGACAGUUAACUACCUGACUAUCACCUGAUGGUUGCCUAAUGUUAGUAGGGGGGCAUCUCUCCUACCCUGCUCAUGUCUGCCUGACUACCUAAUGUAACACUACUUUAAAUUAUUAUUCUGGUUGAUUUCUUAGCCCCAAAGAUGAAUCAUCCCUCCUCCUUUCUUAUUUCCCAAAACAUUACUAACACAGGGUUAUUUUGUGUAGUACUUUUUAAAAAAUUAGAGAUAACCUAAGAGGCCACAGCACUGCACAAAAUGGGGAUCACCUUAAAGUUCAGUGUUAGGCAGCAUUGCCCCUGGCUAUUUCCAUCAUAAGUAAACAGCCUUCUUUCUCCAGAGCCCCCUCCUGCUGGCUUGUUGCUGGCCCCUCCUCUUCUUCUUGUUUAUUGUACAACAAAACCGCACAGGCAAAGCUUAAAAUUUGCUGGUACUUUAACUUGCAGAGAAAUUUAACUGCUUCCCUCAACCUCCUGCCCAUAUCAGAAUAGAGGCCUUUGUAUGCUAGAGUUUCCAAUACCAAAUAAUGGCAACAAUAAUAAAUAGUGACAACAUUUUACAUUAUAUAUUACUUUAAGUUAUAGCAAAGCAAAUUUUGAGUAGGGCUCUCUCCCCACCAGCAAGAUUCUUGGGAUCUUAUCGUUUGUGGGGAGGAAUCUGGAAACUGUAUUAUAAUAGACACCCUUUUAUCUGAUAUUAUUGAAUUGUUAGUAGGGUAACUAUUAACAAUUAAUUGAAAAGUCAGUUAAUACAAAGAUUCAUAAAAUGAUAUGUUUUAUAUUUUAUUAAAAUGUGUAACCUGUU
This is a long non-coding RNA of Homo sapiens (human), 2446 nucleotides long. Ensembl annotates it as EIF1B antisense RNA 1. Its record names the gene EIF1B-AS1. NCBI's taxonomy places the organism in Eukaryota, Metazoa, Chordata, Mammalia, Primates, Hominidae. The record is from Ensembl.